Molecule: transfer RNA, 73 nt
Filed under: Salinivirgaceae bacterium
Lineage: Bacteria; Pseudomonadati; Bacteroidota; Bacteroidia; Bacteroidales; Salinivirgaceae
Description: tRNA-Lys
Rfam family: tRNA
About the family: Transfer RNA (tRNA) molecules are approximately 80 nucleotides in length. Their secondary structure includes four short double-helical elements and three loops (D, anti-codon, and T loops).
Source: RNAcentral
GACUCAAUAGCUCAGCUGGUAGAGCACAUCCCUUUUAAGGAUGGGGUCCUGGGUUCGAGCCCCAGUUGAGUCA